Molecule: long non-coding RNA, 547 nt
Filed under: Gallus gallus (chicken)
Lineage: Eukaryota; Metazoa; Chordata; Aves; Galliformes; Phasianidae
Source: RNAcentral
GACAGAGGGGAGCUAAGACCAUGUUCUCCUUAAUUUCAAAAGGAGCAAACUUCCCACAAGAGCCAGCAAGAAUCUUUGGGGCUUGUGGAGUCUUUGGUUUCUGGAAGAAUCUUGUAAUUUCUGCUUUCUGAGCAUUAAUACGCUUUUCCUCCUCUUUUAACCGUUUCUCCUCUUCUUUCUUUCUCUUCUCCUCAAGUUUUGCCUCCAAGGCUUCCUGCCUCUCCUUGCGUUUCUCCUCCUUCACUCUCAACUUCUCAGCUUUUUCCUUUUCUUCUUUUUCUUUCUUUUCCCUUCUUUCUCUCUCUUUCAGUUCUUUCUCUUCCUCUUUCUUCUUCUUUGCCUCUUCCUUGGCUCGCUCCUUUGCAGCUUUUGCCUCUUCUUUCAGCCUUCCUUUUUCCUCUCUUUCUGCUUGUAACUUCUGCAGCUUGUCAGCACGCUCCUGAUCUCUUUGCAAUCUCAGCUUCUCCUUCUCUGCAGAACUUUUGUGGAGUUUCUGAGAUACCUUCCUAACAGGCGUUGAGACAGCUAAAGGACUAGUAUUUCUCUU